AUACGUAGGGAGCGAGCGUUGUCCGGAAUUACUGGGUGUAAAGGGAGCGUAGGCGGGAGUGCAAGUCAGAUGUGAAAUACAUGGGCUCAGCCCAUGGGCUGCAUUUGAAACUGCAUUUCUUGAGUGAAGUAGAGGUAAGCGGAAUUCCUGGUGUAGCGGUGAAAUGCGUAGAUAUCAGGAGGAACACCGGUGGCGAAGGCGGCUUACUGGGCUUUUACUGACGCUGAGGCUCGAAAGCGUGGGGAGCAAACAGGAUUAGAUACCCUGGUAGUCCACGCUGUAAACGAUGAUUACUAGGUGUGGGGGGACUGACCCCUUCCGUGCCGCAGUUAACACAAUAAGUAAUCCACCUGGGGAGUACGGCCGCAAGGUUGAAACUCAAAUGAAUUGGCGGGG
This 396-nucleotide ribosomal RNA is filed under the name uncultured bacterium. RNAcentral describes it as "partial 16S ribosomal RNA". It matches the Rfam family "Bacterial small subunit ribosomal RNA", at positions 523 to 918 of the family's 1533-position model. The record is from RNAcentral.